GCCCAGGAUUAGCUCAGUUGGUCAGAGCACAGUUUUAAUAAUGCCAAGGUUGUGGGUUUGAUUCCUUUAUGGGCC
Molecule: non-coding RNA, 75 nt
Organism: Lamprotornis superbus
Lineage: Eukaryota; Metazoa; Chordata; Aves; Passeriformes; Sturnidae
Source: the annotation of a GenBank genome assembly